RNAcentral lists this ribosomal RNA (433 nucleotides) under uncultured bacterium. Its description in RNAcentral is "partial 16S ribosomal RNA". It matches the Rfam family "Bacterial small subunit ribosomal RNA", at positions 29 to 507 of the family's 1533-position model. The record is from RNAcentral.
AACGAACGCUGGCGGCAUGCCUAACACAUGCAAGUCGAACGAGACCUUCGGGUCUAGUGGCGCACGGGUGCGUAACGCGUGGGAACCUGCCUUUAGGUUCGGAAUAACUCAGAGAAAUUUGAGCUAAUACCGGAUGAUGUCUUCGGACCAAAGAUUUAUCGCCUUUAGAUGGGCCCGCGUUGGAUUAGCUGGUUGGUGGGGUAAAGGCCUACCAAGGCGACGAUCCAUAGCUGGUCUGAGAGGAUGAUCAGCCACACUGGGACUGAGACACGGCCCAGACUCCUACGGGAGGCAGCAGUGGGGAAUAUUGGACAAUGGGCGAAAGCCUGAUCCAGCAAUGCCGCGUGAGUGAUGAAGGCCUUAGGGUUGUAAAGCUCUUUUACCCGAGAUGAUAAUGACAGUAUCGGGAGAAUAAGCUCCGGCUAACUCCGUG